CACAGGGAUUAGCCAUAAAUGCUACUUUCCUCUCUGUGAAGCCCACGCCAGCAUCUGCUGAAACUUCUGAUAUUUUCUGCGCCAGUUUCUUAGUUUUGGUUUCCCGAGUGGCAUUCCAGACUGAACCAUGUCUGGACCCCCGUCAUUGUUUAGAUCAUUGUCAAGUCCAUCUGCAGUCCCUGACUGCAACGACUUUGACGUACUGUCACAAUUUCAAAAACACAAGAACUGGGAUGGACACCUGAAACGUUUAAGGUCUCAUAAGGUUGUGGAAAACCUUGCUGUGUCCUAGAACUCACAGUAGGUGUAUUAUUUUGAGCAGCCUACAGUUUACGUUUUUUGGACAUCAUCAGAUGCUGACCUGCACUAUUCCAUGCAGCGCAUUCCCAACCUCCACCUCCGCAUAGAAUGUUCCCGCCCGCAGCUGCUUCCCUCCACGUGAAUUGUGGGAUUGUGUGAGAACAUCUCGCGAGUCACAGCACAGCGCGUCUGGCAUUCAGGGACCGUGGUGGCAUUUCAGAAGAAGCACGAGCAGAAGAAUACCUUGAGUGUUGUUUAUCACUUUCUAUUCAUAUCCGAAACCUGUCCCACAUUUUCAGAAGAGAUUAUAAUAUUGUCCUUCACUUUGGUGUUUCAGGGUCAUGACUUGUUUCAUCUGGAAGUCAUGAUGUUUCAUCCAUUACAUCCUUAUAAUAUAAGUGUUACUCAUAUGACUAAGAUGAUUCUUUGAAUCAUUUGUUUGUGUUGACUAUCUAACAAAUAAAAGUGAACCGAAUAAAAUAAAAAUAACCAUGUUAUUAUCUGUUGCCUGUUGUUCAUUAUCUGUUUUCCCGAACACAUAUCUAUCAGUUUCUUCUAACUUCCUCAAAACAUUCUUUUGACAUUUCACUUGAAUUUCCCUCAUAUGGCGGAUAUUGAUUUUGACUCUGUAGAUCAAUGCAAUUUCUUGCCUUUAUUGGAUUACAUUUAUACUUUUAUGUUUUUAAUAAGAUUUCUAUUCUCUUUCAGUGAAAUAUCUGUGAAGUCUACAUGAAAAAUCAAUUGGGGAAUCAAUAAUUCGGCAGCAUGGAAGUGAACACGGUGGAAAUGAAUGUGAACACCUGCUACUUUCUAAAUACAAAGAUCACUGUGUCUAUAUCUGUUUGGGUACAAAGCAAUGUUUUAUUAAUUCUUACAAGCAUUGUAGAUACAAUAGAAAGUUAACUGCUAUUGUAUAUGUUUUAUUGAUAUCUUUAUCAAUUCAGGUAUGUACAAAUUCUCAUUACUUCAUUAGAAUUCUAAAAUGUGAUUUAAUAUCACAUGGAGCAACAUAAAUCAAAGCUAAGGGCCAUUUAAAGUUUAUUCUUGUUACUUAAUGUACAAAACGCGGACAGCCUCGGGUUAAAGCUGACCCAUAUGGGAUAGGCAGUCAGGUAAUUAAAAAAAAGUCUGUUACUAAUUUGUGACUAAUAAUAUCCAGAGAUUCUUUUUUAAUCCCAGCCUAGCACUGUCCCCAGAUAUUAUAAACCUCCAAUUAUAUCAGAAAUAGAUAAAGGAAUAUCACUCCACAUAUCACUCUCUAGAGAACCUUAAUAGAUUUGAUUAAGAUUUAUUCCCAUAAUUCCUUUUUUGUUUAAACAGAUGUCCACUCGUGCAACAAUAACAGACAAUGGAGUAAUCCUGGCUAAUUGUUUUAAAAUGACAAAAUCCAUUUCCAUAAUAUAUUGCAGUGUCUAAUUUGCUCUCAAAUGACCACCUGUUGUCCCAGAGAAGAAAACAAUAAAUGACUACUUGAGGACAAUGGAGAGGAAUCAGGGUGAAGCUACAAUGUAAAAGGAGUAGUUUUCUGGGGAUGCUUUUGCCCUUAGAACAUACAGUAUAAAAAAAUCUUGCAGUUGUUGGCAAUGUUUUAAUCACUCAAAAUAAUUCAAAUAUAAACCAUUGAAAUUAAUUGUUAUUUGCAGUUUAGUUAACCCGCUGGACUACAGUGAAACCAAGGUUGACAAAAUGCCAAUUUUUGGAAUUGAUCAGCAGGAUAUCUUCUUUGGCUCAUUUGAACUUCAGCACAUUUAAAGGCACAAUUCACUAAAAAAUGAAAAUUCUG
This is a long non-coding RNA of Triplophysa rosa, 2083 nucleotides long. RefSeq lists it as uncharacterized. The transcript has 4 exons. NCBI's taxonomy places the organism in Eukaryota, Metazoa, Chordata, Actinopteri, Cypriniformes, Nemacheilidae. The record is from RefSeq and is a predicted model, not a curated record.